RNAcentral lists this ribosomal RNA (483 nucleotides) under uncultured bacterium. RNAcentral describes it as "partial 16S ribosomal RNA". It matches the Rfam family "Bacterial small subunit ribosomal RNA", at positions 30 to 507 of the family's 1533-position model. The record is from RNAcentral.
UUGAACGCUGGCGGCAGGCCUAACACAUGCAAGUCGAGCGGAUGAAGGUAGCUUGCUCCUGGAUUCAGCGGCGGACGGGUGAGUAAUGCCUAGGAAUCUGCCUGGUAGUGGGGGAUAACGUCCGGAAACGGGCGCUAAUACCGCAUACGUCCUGAGGGAGAAAGUGGGGGAUCUUCGGACCUCACGCUAUCAGAUGAGCCUAGGUCGGAUUAGCUAGUUGGUGGGGUAAAGGCCUACCAAGGCGACGAUCCGUAACUGGUCUGAGAGGAUGAUCAGUCACACUGGAACUGAGACACGGUCCAGACUCCUACGGGAGGCAGCAGUGGGGAAUAUUGGACAAUGGGCGAAAGCCUGAUCCAGCCAUGCCGCGUGUGUGAAGAAGGUCUUCGGAUUGUAAAGCACUUUAAGUUGGGAGGAAGGGCAGUAAGUUAAUACCUUGCUGUUUUGACGUUACCAACAGAAUAAGCACCGGCUAACUUCGUG